This is a non-coding RNA of Pelobates cultripes (western spadefoot toad), 241 nucleotides long. The record is from the annotation of a GenBank genome assembly. NCBI's taxonomy places the organism in Eukaryota, Metazoa, Chordata, Amphibia, Anura, Pelobatidae.
UCACACCCCGAGGAGCUGCAGACAGGGUUGCUAGCUCUCUCCCCAGACACAGUGGAGGGACUUCGCACCCAGCGGCACAGGGUCAACCACCAGGCCCCCUCCCAAUGUCGGGUCCUUGGUCAUGGACCGAGGAUCCGACAAGUCACUGCCCUUCAACUCUGCUGCUAGCAGGGCUAGAAGUAAAAAUGAGCAACCUGCUCAGCGCCUGGAACUGCAUGUCCCGGGCGUCGGGCGAUACAAA